GGGCGGUUAGCUCAGCGGUAGAGCACUACGUUGACAGCGUCGUGGCCACUGGUUCGAUCCCAGUACCGCCCACCA
This 75-nucleotide transfer RNA is filed under the name Tabrizicola sp. Its description in RNAcentral is "tRNA-Val". It matches the Rfam family "tRNA". Rfam says of the family: Transfer RNA (tRNA) molecules are approximately 80 nucleotides in length. Their secondary structure includes four short double-helical elements and three loops (D, anti-codon, and T loops). Lineage: Bacteria; Pseudomonadati; Pseudomonadota; Alphaproteobacteria; Rhodobacterales; Paracoccaceae. The record is from RNAcentral.